This is a small RNA of Frankia alni, 296 nucleotides long. It matches the Rfam family "5' ureB small RNA". NCBI's taxonomy places the organism in Bacteria, Bacillati, Actinomycetota, Actinomycetes, Frankiales, Frankiaceae. The record is from Rfam.
CCUCGGGGACCUGCUGCGGGCAGAUCAGGUGCACGUGGCAGUCGACCGCGCCCGCGGUGAGGAUCUUCCCGUUCCCGGCGAUGAUCUCGGUGCCGGGCCCGAUGACCAGGUCGGGGUGGACGCCGUCCAUCGUGUCCGGGUUGCCGGCCUUGCCGAGGGCGACGAUCCGCCCGUCGCGGAUGCCGACGUCCGCCUUGAUCACGCCCCAGUGGUCGAGGACGACGGCGCCGGUGAUGACGAGAUCGGGCGCGCCCUGCGCGCGGGUCGCCCGCGACUGGCCCAUGGACUCGCGGAUG